Molecule: ribosomal RNA, 482 nt
Filed under: uncultured bacterium
Lineage: Bacteria
Description: partial 16S ribosomal RNA
Rfam family: Bacterial small subunit ribosomal RNA
Source: RNAcentral
AUUGAACGCUGGCGGCAUGCGUUACACAUGCAAAUCGAACGGUAACGGGCCUUCGGGUGCCGACGAGUGGCGAACGGGUGAGUAAUACAUCGGAACGUGCCCGAUCGUGGGGGAUAACGAGGCGAAAGCUUUGCUAAUACCGCAUACGAUCUACGGAUGAAAGCAGGGGACCGCAAGGCCUUGCGCGGACGGAGCGGCCGAUGGCAGAUUAGGUAGUUGGUGGGAUAAAAGCUUACCAAGCCGACGAUCUGUAGCUGGUCUGAGAGGAUGAUCAGCCACACUGGGACUGAGACACGGCCCAGACUCCUACGGGAGGCAGCAGUGGGGAAUUUUGGACAAUGGGCGCAAGCCUGAUCCAGCCAUGCCGCGUGCAGGAUGAAGGCCUUCGGGUUGUAAACUGAUUUUGUACGGAACGAAAAGCCUUCUUUUAAUACAGGAGGGUCAUGACGGUACCGUAAGAAUAAGCACCGGCUAACUACGUG